This 222-nucleotide long non-coding RNA is filed under the name Ictidomys tridecemlineatus (thirteen-lined ground squirrel). RNAcentral describes it as "lncRNA (ENSSTOG00000032493.1)". The record is from RNAcentral. Lineage: Eukaryota; Metazoa; Chordata; Mammalia; Rodentia; Sciuridae.
GUUCAGCAUCUGGAGUCUCGUGCCCACCCCACACCACCAGGAAACCUGCUGAUGGAUGUGCCCAGUGUCCUUUGUGCUGCCAACAGGAAACCCAGACAGCCAGAGGCCAAAAUCCAGAACACAGAGGCCUUCCCAGUGGGUGAAGGACGUAGCAGAUCACAAGGAGCCUAUGCAUGUUGGAGGGCUUAAUCUAGUGAGAUGAAGCAGGGAGAAGCCAGCUCC